Rattus norvegicus (Norway rat) is the source of this 4702-nucleotide non-coding RNA. The record is from RefSeq and is a predicted model, not a curated record. Lineage: Eukaryota; Metazoa; Chordata; Mammalia; Rodentia; Muridae.
CCAGGAGGGAGGGAGAGCCGGGCGGGGUCGGCGUCUCGGGACCGACGGGAACGGGGCGCCAGGCCGGGCGGGAACGGGGGUGCCCGGGCCGCAGGCGUCGAGUGGGCCUCGAGCCCGCCAGCCCGCUCCGCAGUGGCGCUCGCCGCCUCGGUGCCCGUGCGGGCCCAGCCUGGGACGCUCUGUAGGAGCUGGGAUGGACCUCCUGCUAGGCAGUGCUGCUGGCUUUGAGCUACCUUGUGAGAGGAAUGGGUGCUGCCCCGACCCUGCCUGGGGUGCCCUUCCUCGCCGCUGUAUCCCAGCAACGCAGAGUUUGGCUGCAGUGCCAGCAUCUGCAGGACAGGAGAGGGGUGGUUGGCCAGAUCACCUGAGCGCACAGGUUCACGAUUUCCCGAGCACCUGUCAGGACCCAUCGGACCCCAAAAUCCUGUGACUGACUUUAUGGAAUUUGUUUUCCCUCUUUAUUUUGCUGUUUGUAUGAAACGAACUCUUUAGUCUCUGUGAGAAAGAGAGAGGUGCGCUUACUCGGCGGUUUCAAACCUGAAGCCUUGCUGAGGGACCUGUGACCCUUCACGGUUCAGUAGUUGUAAACGCGAGUACCCGAGUUGCUGAAACAAGUUCUGUCGUGUCAGAAUGGCGUAAUUAGGAGAGUUCACAGGGCUUGGUAAAUAGCAGGAGUUAUCCAACACUGCCAAAAAAUUUAAACCCUUAUAAUGUUUAUGCUUUAAAAAAAGUGGGGGGGUGUCAACCAUGUAGAACAUACUGUCCCCAAACUCACAGGUUCUCGCUGCCUCUGCUUCCUAAAUGCUGGUUGGGAUAAAGCUGUGGGACAUUGGGUUGGGCCUCUUCAUGAUUUUAAAACUCCCCUCUGGCUGGCAUAGUGGUUUACACCUUUAACCCAACGCUAGAGAGGCAGGGGGAUCUCUUCAACAUGCCAUUCUGGUCUACAUAAUGAGUUCUAAGACAGCCGGGACUGGAGACCCUGUUGCAAAAAUAAAAUAAAUAAACAAAGAAUGAAUGAGUAAAACUAAUCAAUGGUGGCUCACACUUGUUAGACCUUGGGGGCUGGGGCAGGGAGAUUUUAAGUUUGGGUCAGCCUGAGUUAGGUAAUGAAAUCCUUCUGUAAAAAAAAAAAAAAGAAAAGAAAAGGAAAGGAAAGUGGACGGUGGCUUAUGCUUGUAAUCCAAGCACUUAGCAGGCUGAUGUGGGAGAAUUUCUGUGAAUUGGAGGCUAACCUGGGCUACAGAGUGAGACACUGUUUCAAACAAAAUCAAAGUGGAGAGGAUAGAUCUGUGGCCCUCAUUGAGUGCUGUAUGCCAUAAAUUACGUCCCAGCUUUCACGAAGGUUCUUUAACAACUUUGACGGAGAUCUGAGAUGUGUGACUUCAAAAAUAAUUUUAUCUUUAACCAGUUCUAUAACUCUGGAAUUGUUAAUUGUUCCUAGGUAAAGCUCCUCCGAGCUGCUUAAGUGCUUAAUAGAAAACAGCCUUGUGUGAACUGAAACUAGUAAGCGUGCUUGCUUAGUGGGGUGGAGUUGUUGGUGCUGACCCCCCGACCUUCCCCUUUCUGGAUGAGCCCUGUACAGCAGUCUAGAAGAAUGAGAGGUCUAAUUAGUGUUAUCCUGGAUUGUGGGACCUUGAAUUCUUCAUUAGAUUUUUAGUCAAGCUGUUCAGUGGCCUUGUAAUUUUGAAUUUAUGUUCUCUUAGACACAAUUCAGACAUUGUCAUAUUGACCUGCCCCUUCCCCCUUUUUAAGAUUUACUUGUUUAUGUAUAUGAGAACACCAUGACUGUCUUAAGACACAUUUCUGGACAUUGGAUCCCAUUACAGAUGGUUGUGAGCCACCAUGUGGUUGUUGAGGAUUGAACUCAGGACCUCUGGAAGAGCAGUCAGUGUUCCUAACCUCUGAGCCAUCUCUGCAGCCCAACCUGACCUUUUAAUUGGACACACAGACUGUGGCCCCUGCACUGGGAAUAGCCUGUCUCCUUUGCUCUGUUAAGAGCCCCAGUCCUGACACAUGAGAUUGUGUGGUGCUUUCAUGAAGUGGCAGGUUUGCAGAGUAGUCCUGAACUGAAUCUAGAGGAAGGAACUCUUGACACUUUCUCCCACAACACUCUGUUAGCUUGCCCUAACCCAUGGAAGUUAGCCAGCAGGAAGGGAGCCAUCCCUCUAGAGGUGGUAGCUAGUGCAGUGUGUGGAGUAGAACUUUGGCCAUUUGUUUAAAUGUUCAGAGGUGAUUAUCACUAGACAGGAAACUGAAUUCAGGGUGUGGUUGGCUGGAGACAGGGUCUCACUGUGUAAGUGAUCCAGGCUGGCUUACCCAGCCAGUCCUUCACCCCGCUGGAGAAGCAGUGUGGUCAAUAGGCCACACACUGAAGCAAACAAACUGGGCCACUCACUUCUGAUGCCCUAAAGCAAGCUACUAUCUCUGGGCCUUUCUACCUCAGCAGGAGGGAGUCAUGGUGACAGCCUUUUCAGGUUGCCAUAGUAAUUUAACUGAAAAGUACUUUAAGCAGUACUUGUCACAAAGUGAAAGUGUCACAAGUACUUGUUAAGCAGGGCUUGCUGGGCAAAGAAGAAAGCCCCCAACAAAAGUGAGAGCAGAGGAAGCGAACCAGUAAGCAGCAUCCUUCCAUGGCCUCUGCAUCAGCUCCUGCCUCUGUGUUCCUGCCCUGUGUGAGUUUCUGUCCUGACUUCUUCAGUGACCAACAGUGAUGUCAAGUGUAAGCUAAGAACACCCCCAGGUUGCUUUUAGUCAUGGUGUUUUAUCACAGCAAUAGUGGCAUUCUCCAGAUCACCAUUCUCUGUGUUUAAAGUUGUAGUCUUAUGUGUGUGCACUUGGGAGAGAUUAUAUGUAUUAGUUGUCCUUGGAGGUCAGGAGAAAGCAUUGGAUCCCCUGAAGUGGAGCCCAGAAGGUUGUGGGCUUCGGGCUCAGUGCUGAGAACUAGACCUAUGUCCUCUACAAGCACUGACUCACUGCUUCAACCCCCACUCUGUUUCUAAGAGUCUGCAUCCACUGUGGAGGAUGAGCCACAGUGGGCUACUGUGGGAAAUUUUACGUUACAUGUUGUUUUGUGUGUGCAUGAAUGUGUUGGGCACACAUGUGCCAGGGCUUGUGUGUGGAGGCCAGAGCAUCUCAGUUCUCUCCUUCCAACAUCUGAGUCCCAAGGAUUGAACUCAGUCAUCGGGCCUGGUGGCGAGUGCCUUUGCUGGGCUGUCUUGCCAGCCCUUGUGUGUUUUCAGGGUAUGCUCUCCAUCCACUGGGAUGCUCUCACUAAAACCUGCCCAGUUAUGAAGUGCACAGGACUCUGGAAGUAGGCUACAGUUUGCUUCCUUCCUCUAGCAGCUUUUUGAACAUGAGUUUCAAUGUUUGCUGUUAGCACAAGAGAAAGGAUAUAUGGUGUCUUGGUGUCUAGUUAGGCUCUUGGGUGUGAAUAGUAGUUACUCUUUUUUUUUUUUUUCAAAGUGAAAUAAAUUUGACUUUUUGAAGUUUGCAUGUUUUCUUGGGAAGUAUGAUUUUCUAAAAUUUUUUGUUUAUUUUUAAGAUAGUCUUGCUAUGUAUUCCCCAUGGGCUUUGACCUUACUGUGUAAGAACAUCAUAGUGGAACUUCUGGUGAUCCUCCUGCCUCACACUCCCAAGUACACACCUCAGACUCAUGUCUCAGUAUCCUUGGAAGACUAUACACAAGCAUGUAGCAGCAGAGACAGGUGACAUGCUGUCACCUGACACUGAACAGUGUGGUUGUUGCCCUGUAGUUGUUGGCUUUGGAAUGAGCAAAGGUACCUGGCUUUGUUCAUUUGUAAUCUGUAAUGAUAGUUGUCAGAGAACUGUGCCACCCCACCUCCCCACCCCUGCUGCCUUUUUUCUGGAGACUCGGUCUCACUGUGUGGUUGUAGCUGGCCAAGAGCUCACUAUAAGUAAACAAGGCUGGCCUCAAAGUCACUGAGACCUGCCUUCCUCUGAGUGCUGGGAAUAAAGGUGUGUACCGCCACGGCCGGCUAAAAAUACUGCUGCUGUAACUUGUUGCUGAGCACCUUGACUAGGACAGUGGGAUUGUUCAUUAGUUUAUAAAUAAGUCUCCUCUGUACUGCCAGGUUGGUAGACUGCUGAUCCUCUUGCCUCAGCCUCUCCAGUGUUAGGGUUACAGAUGUCAGCUUUUUUAGAUGUAUUUAACAAGCCAGAAAGGAAAUCCCCUGAAAAGAUCAUUAUUUACUAGAAAAUCUUUAGAACUUCCAUGUCUUUGAACCUCCACAAAUAGGGCAGCCUUCACAUGUAUGGGUUGAGAAGGUGACCAACAUUGCUCAGUCAUAUGCCAGUGGAAUCCAAGCCCUGUGUCUGAGCUCAUGACUCUGCCACACGACUGGUCUGAGAAGUAAAAACAGACUAACUGUUUAGGACCACAGUGAGAACACUCAUUGCAGGCUGAUGCUUGCCUUGAGGUAUACCUUUCAGGCCCCAUCACAUCUUACAGAUGGCAGCACUCGGGAGCUGUGGGUAAGAUUGUCAUGUUGAUGGAAUGGCCAUGAAGGUGGCAGUUUCCUAUGGAAUUAAGAGUCAAGCACUUUCAGGUUUGGGGGAUCAGGAGUAGGACACAGCCUGCAAUAGACGAUGCAGAAAACAGAUAGCAGUUAUAUGAUUCAUAUUCUCUCUCUCUCUCUCUCUCUCUCUCUCUCUCUCUCUCUCUCUCUCUCUCUCUCUCUCUCUC